UACGGAGGAUGCGAGCGUUAUCCGGAUUUAUUGGGUUUAAAGGGAGCGCAGGCGGGCGAUUAAGUCAGUUGUGAAAUGCCACGGCUCAACCGUGGACUUGCAGUUAAUACUGGUUGCCUUGAGUGCGGCAGAGGCAGGCGGAAUUCGUGGUGUAGCGGUGAAAUGCUUAGAUAUCACGAAGAACUCCGAUUGCGAAGGCAGCUUGCUGGACCGUUACUGACGCUGAGGCUCGAAAGUGCGGGUAUCAAACAGG
RNAcentral lists this ribosomal RNA (253 nucleotides) under uncultured bacterium. RNAcentral's name for it is "partial 16S ribosomal RNA". It matches the Rfam family "Bacterial small subunit ribosomal RNA", at positions 524 to 776 of the family's 1533-position model. The record is from RNAcentral.